UGCUUCGGUGAUCUGCCUGCUUUGGUCUC
RNAcentral lists this non-coding RNA (29 nucleotides) under Homo sapiens (human). Lineage: Eukaryota; Metazoa; Chordata; Mammalia; Primates; Hominidae. The record is from RNAcentral.